CAAUAAGCGGAGGAAAAGAAACCAACAGGGAUUGCCCCAGUAACGGCGAGUGAAGCGGCAACAGCUCAAAUUUGAAAUCUGGCCCCCCGGGUCCGAGUUGUAAUUUGCAGAGGAUGCUCUUGGCGAGGCACCGUCCGAGUUCCUGGAACGGGACGCCAUAGAGGGUGAGAGCCCCGUAUGGACGACUGCCGAGCCGCUGUAGAGCUCCUUCGACGAGUCGAGUAGUUUGGGAAUGCUGCUCUAAACGGGAGGUAAAUCUCUUCUAAAGCUAAAUACUGGCCACAGACCGAUAGCGCACAAGUAGAGUGAUCGAAAGAUGAAAAGCACUUUGAAAAGAGAGUUAAACAGCACGUGAAAUUGUUGAAAGGGAAG
This 372-nucleotide ribosomal RNA is filed under the name Graphium penicillioides. RNAcentral describes it as "eukaryotic LSU rRNA". It matches the Rfam family "Eukaryotic large subunit ribosomal RNA", at positions 44 to 419 of the family's 3401-position model. Lineage: Eukaryota; Fungi; Ascomycota; Sordariomycetes; Microascales; Graphiaceae. The record is from RNAcentral.